UGGUGUCGUAAGUCGCUACCGCCCGGUCGUAGGUCACGUGACGGUGUUUCCCCUCCCUCUGACCCCCUGCCUCCAGGUUCUGAGAAGAUGGCGAAGGUCUCAGAGCUUUACGAUGUCACUUGGGAAGAGAUGCGAGAUAAAAUGAGAAAAUGGAGAGAAGAAAACUCACGAAAUAGCGAGCAAAUUGUGGAAGUUGGAGAGGAAUUAAUUAAUGAAUAUGCUUCUAAGCUUGGAGAUGAUAUUUGGAUCAUAUAUGAACAAGUAAUGAUUGCAGCCCUAGACUAUGGUCGAGAUGACUUGGCAUUGUUUUGUCUUCAGGAGUUGAGAAGACAGUUCCCUGGCAGUCAUAGAGUCAAGAGACUAACUGGGAUGAGAUUUGAAGCCAUGGAAAGAUACGAUGAUGCUAUACAACUGUAUGAUCGAAUUUUACAAGAAGAUCCAACUAACACUGCUGCAAGAAAGCGUAAGAUUGCCAUUCGAAAAGCCCAGGGGAAAAAUGUGGAGGCCAUUCGGGAACUGAAUGAGUAUCUGGAACAAUUUGUUGGAGACCAAGAAGCCUGGCAUGAACUUGCAGAACUUUAUAUCAAUGAACAUGACUAUGCUAAGGCAGCCUUUUGCUUAGAAGAGCUAAUGAUGACUAAUCCACACAACCACUUAUACUGUCAGCAGUAUGCUGAAGUUAAAUAUACUCAAGGUGGACUUGAAAACCUCGAACUUUCACGAAAGUAUUUUGCACAGGCAUUGAAACUGAACAACAGAAAUAUGAGAGCUUUGUUUGGGCUUUACAUGUCGGCAAGUCAUAUUGCUUCUAAUCCAAAAGCAAGUGCAAAAACAAAAAAGGACAACAUGAAAUAUGCUAGUUGGGCAGCUAGUCAAAUAAACAGAGCUUAUCAGUUUGCAGGUCGAAGUAAGAAGGAAACCAAAUACUCUCUUAAGGCAGUCGAAGACAUGUUGGAAACGCUGCAGAUCACUCAGUCUUAAGCUUGAAGAACUCCUUUCAGCUUUUCAUAGAAGGCAGUUUUGGUGGUGAUGAAUCCCUGAAGCUUUUGUUUGUUGGGAAAGGUGUUUAUUUAGCCUUCAUUUCUGAAGGACAACUUUACCAGGCAAUUCCUGAAUCUUCAUUUCUUUGACAUCAUUUAUGGGAAAUUUACUGUGUUCCUUUGAUGGUGUCAUGUUGCCGUGAUUCUUCAUGAUUCCAGUAGUCUUGCAUACGUGUCUGUACGUUUGAGGAAGGAGUCACCUCUUCCAGACUUUAUGGACUGACUUUGGUAAGGAAAGACCUUCACCUGUGUUGGGGGACCAUGCUGGAAUGUGAUGUGGGAUCUAUUGGUUUGGGGCACCAAAUGCAGGUAUGUGUGGUGGCUCUGAGCCCUGUGGGGCAUGCUUUCUCAAUGGCUUAGCCUGCUAGAGCCCAUAACAACCGUGUGAUUCUUGAUGAACAAUGUGGGGAAUCUACAAAGGCUGCAAAGGCUUCUGGUUCCUCAGCAGCACUCUCAGCUCUAGUGGCUAGGGACUGGAGCAGAUAGUGGUAGUAGUUAGAGCUAGUGGUGUACCCACAUUUGGCUCUGAGGGUCAACUGCAGGCUCUAGUGUAGUGACAGGGGCUGGUUGCAGACACAUGCACAGUGUCCGGGGCCAGGGGAAACCGCAAAGGCCAAGGACAAAUGUGGAUGCACUGGCAGUUGUGGGGCCCCUGGCUGUCAAAGGGAACUCCUGUGACUGUAGGUUCUUGACUGUUGUGUGUGCAUUGCAGUGGAGGCUGGUGAUGGGAGUCAGGCUGGAAGUGUGCAGGUGCACAGCUGGAAGAGCCAGCCCUGAGUGUUUGCAUGGUUAUGGGGAUCAGCCAUGGUGGUCUAGGUUGGCAUCUUGGAAUCACGCAGCAGUAGAGGCCACAGCAGGGUACUGGUGUGGGUCCCAGGCUCUAGUAGGGAGGGAAUGGGAAAGUGGAGAGAAGAACUCAGGUAUCUGGCUUCUGUGAACAUGAAAACCUGUGGGGUGAAAACCAGUGAAAUCUGCAGGGAGUGUGUGUGGCUGUGCUGGUUUCCUCAGUUGCAAAAACUCCUGAGGUCCUUUGCAGAGGAGGUCACUAGGAACCAUGGUCACUCCCACUGUGCGGCCGAUAUUGCUAGCCCCUGCCCUUCUUCCUUUUUCCUAGCCAUAGCUGUACAUUUCAGCUCUGCUCGUGUCUAGGUGGGUGAAGCUGAAGUGGAUUCUUCGUGCAGUGCCCUGAAAGGCUGCAGAAGCUGAUCACUCACCCUGUUCUCCCUUUCCCAGUGAGGGGAACUUUUUCUUGCUGGUGAGUUCCCUGGUAGCAAGGAGCAGUGCCAGCCUGAGGAGAUGAGGCUGGCCAAAUGAAGAUCUUCUUUCUCUCCUUUUUGUGUAGUUAUUCUCAAGUUUUUCCUUCUACUGUGUUGUUCAAUUUCUUAAGUGAACUUCUGAUCUUUCCCAGAGCUGAUUUUUUUCAUAGACAGCUGACUAUUGUUGAUCUUUGUGGGGAGAUGGAAUCUGGGGUCUCCUACUGUGCCAUCUUGGUGAUGUCACUUUUCAACCCUGACAUUUCAUAGUGAAUAUGAUGAGGAAAGAUUUUAUAAAAUUCAACACAAAAUAUUUUGGACUUAAAACCAAAGCUUUGGGAGAGAUCAUGAACCUCUGUCUUAUCUCAACUCUAUUUUCUAGUUUUGUAUCUGUUGAUAUGCAAUGCUUGGAAUUUUUGCUUUGGGAAGUUCAGAAUUUAGAGAAAUUGUUGAGCAAAUGAUGUUUCUUACAAGAUCUCACAAAGGACAAGAUUUUAUGAUGAAAUACUGCUUUGAUUUUUUAGUGUCCUAUAUAAGUGAUUUCUACAAACUGUCAGAAAAAUUUCUGCAGAGUUGAGGUCUAGUCUUCAAUUUCCUUUCCCUAUAGCAUCUGACAUAUAUUGUUGCCACAGUGGAUGCUUAUAAAUAUUUGCCAAUUUCAUAUUUUGUCUCCAAGCCAACUGAUGUUGGUGAAGAGUGUCACACAGUUGCUAAAGUUUAACAUUCAAAUUAAGUUAUCAGACUAUGAAUUUAAUUAGUAGUGUAGUGUUUUUUUUUUUUUUAACUGAGUAUGGUGAAUUUUACUUAAGGCACAGCUGGACCUCCUUGAUAGCAGUUAUGUAUUAAAAACUGCAGAAUGAAAGGUUUAUAAAAAUUUCUC
Molecule: RNA transcript, 3173 nt
Organism: Leopardus geoffroyi (Geoffroy's cat)
Lineage: Eukaryota; Metazoa; Chordata; Mammalia; Carnivora; Felidae
Gene: EMC2
Gene name: ER membrane protein complex subunit 2
Exons: 13
Source: RefSeq, a predicted model, not a curated record